GCGAACGCUGGCGGCAGGCCUAACACAUGCAAGUCGAACGAACCUUUCGGGGUUAGUGGCGGACGGGUGAGUAACACGUGGGAACGUGCCUUUAGGUUCGGAAUAACUCAGGGAAACUUGUGCUAAUACCGAAUGUGCCCUUCGGGGGAAAGAUUAAUCGCCUUUAGAGCGGCCCGCGUCUGAUUAGCUAGUUGGUUGAGGUAAUGGCUCACCAAGGCGACGAUUAGUAGCUGGUCUGAGAGGAUGAUCAGCCACAUUGGGACUGAGACACGGCCCAAACUCCUACGGGAGGCAGCAGUGGGGAAUCUUGCGCAAUGGGCGAAAGCCUGACGCAGCCAUGCCGCGUGAAUGAUGAAGGUCUUAGGAUUGUAAAAUUCUUUCACCGGGGACGAUAAUGACGGUACCCGGAGAAGAAGCCCCGGCUAACUUCGUG
This 433-nucleotide ribosomal RNA is filed under the name uncultured bacterium. RNAcentral's name for it is "partial 16S ribosomal RNA". It matches the Rfam family "Bacterial small subunit ribosomal RNA", at positions 29 to 507 of the family's 1533-position model. The record is from RNAcentral.